Molecule: ribosomal RNA, 460 nt
Filed under: uncultured bacterium
Lineage: Bacteria
Description: partial 16S ribosomal RNA
Rfam family: Bacterial small subunit ribosomal RNA
Source: RNAcentral
CCUACGGGUGGCAGCAGUGAGGAAUAUUGGUCAAUGGGCGAGAGCCUGAACCAGCCAAGUAGCGUGAAGGAUGACUGCCCUACGGGUUGUAAACUUCUUUUAUAUGGGAAUAAAAUGAGCCACGUGUGCCUUUUUGUAUGUACUAUAUGAAUAAGGAUCGGCUAACUCCGUGCCAGCAGCCGCGGUAAUACGGAGGAUCCGAGCGUUAUCCGGAUUUAUUGGGUUUAAAGGGAGCGUAGAUGGGUUGUUAAGUCAGUUGUGAAAGUUUGCGGCUCAACCGUAAAAUUGCAAUUGAAACUGGCAGUCUUGAGUACAGUAGAGGUAGGCGGAAUUCGUGGUGUAGCGGUGAAAUGCUUAGAUAUCACGAAGAACUCCGAUUGCGAAGGCAGCUUACUGGACUGCAACUGACACUGAGGCUCGAAAGUGUGGGUAUCAAACAGGAUUAGAUACCCGUGUAGUC